AUGCAUACGAUAAAUGGAACAAGGCAAGUGCACCAAUCAGGAUCGAUCCAGCAGAGCAAGACAGAUGAACCAUUAAUGCAGAGAGGAAACAGUUCCAACAACAGAAGUGAAAAACAUCAAGACCUGAACCAGGGCAGUGGCCGAGUGAACUCAAAAGAAAGAAGGGAGGAAAGAAGACUUGGAUGUGAGCCAGAUGGAGGAGAACUGAAGAAGUCUGUCAGCAAGCCCUCAGUGUUGUCUCAGCAAGAGUUCAGAACCUUGGCAGCUAAAGGUGGUUCCAAUAUCCAGACUUGCCUUCCUCGUGGUCCUUCCGGAGAUCCAGUGCAUCACACCUCCUCGGAGAUACCAGCACCUGCCAGGCAGCUCCUUUGCCCAGAGUAUGGGUCUCUGGCUUCUCUGGGCUCCAGAAAUCUGGAGGCUUCCUUGCCUCAAUGGGCUGAGUCCCAGUUCUGCAAGUUUCUCCUCCAAGUUCCCACCUUUUAG
This 483-nucleotide long non-coding RNA is filed under the name Papio anubis (olive baboon). RNAcentral's name for it is "lncRNA (ENSPANG00000036853.2)". The record is from RNAcentral. Lineage: Eukaryota; Metazoa; Chordata; Mammalia; Primates; Cercopithecidae.